Molecule: ribosomal RNA, 393 nt
Filed under: uncultured bacterium
Lineage: Bacteria
Description: partial 16S ribosomal RNA
Rfam family: Bacterial small subunit ribosomal RNA
Source: RNAcentral
AUACGGAAGGUCCGGGCGUUAUCCGGAUUUAUUGGGUUUAAAGGGAGCGCAGGCGGAGAUGCAAGCGUGACGUCAAAUUUCGGGGCUCAACCCCGUCUCGCGUCGCGAACUGCGUCCCUUGGUUGCGGGAAGGGGAGGCGGAACUCGGGGUGUAGCGGUGAAAUGCAUAGAUAUCACGAAGAACUCCGAUCGCGAAGGCAGCCUUCCGGCCCGUCAACGACGCUCAUGCUCGAAGGUGCGGGUAUCAAACAGGAUUAGAUACCCUGGUAGUCCGCACAGUAAACGAUGGACACCCGCGGUUUGGCCUAUAUGGCUGAGCCGCCAAGCGAAAGCGUUAAGUGUCCCACCUGGGGAGUACGCCGGCAACGGUGAAACUCAAAUGAAUUGGCGGGG